UACGUAGGUGGCAAGCGUUGUCCGGAUUUAUUGGGCUUAAAGGGUGCAUAGGCGGCUUAUUAAGUCAGUGGUGAAAUACUCUAGCUCAACUAGAGGGGUGCCAUUGAUACUGAUGAGCUUGAGUACAGAUGAGGUAGGCGGAAUUGACGGUGUAGCGGUGAAAUGCUUAGAUAUCGUCAAGAACACCUAUAGCGAAGGCAGCUUACUAGGCUGUAACUGACGCUGAGGCACGAAAGUGUGGGGAUCAAACAGG
RNAcentral lists this ribosomal RNA (253 nucleotides) under uncultured bacterium. RNAcentral describes it as "partial 16S ribosomal RNA". It matches the Rfam family "Bacterial small subunit ribosomal RNA", at positions 524 to 776 of the family's 1533-position model. The record is from RNAcentral.